CUCCUUUUGCCUAUAUUUAGUCCUCCAAGAGAAAACCCUUCCAUCACAUCCAGAAUCGGGAAUUUCUCCAUCAUUCCGCCACCGCAGCGCUUCCGAGAUCGGGAGCGUUAGGAGACAUCUUCCUGGCACCCUCCCGGAGGGAGGAUUGACCUCCGAGAGCUUCUCCACCGCCAUGGACACUUCCUGGACGUGCCGUGAGUCGUCAUCCUUGGACCAUGGGUCCAUGACUAGUAGCUAUCUGAUGUCUUCUCUCCAAUCUUGUGCUUCAAUGGUUAAGCCUUGUGAGCUGCCCUACAUGAUCAAGGCAUCUAUGUAAUUCUCUUGCUAUAUCUAUGCUCGGUUUGU
This 345-nucleotide long non-coding RNA is filed under the name Hordeum vulgare. Its description in RNAcentral is "long non-coding RNA (HVUL_LNC004216)". Lineage: Eukaryota; Viridiplantae; Streptophyta; Magnoliopsida; Poales; Poaceae. The record is from RNAcentral.